UGUGGACUGUAAGGUGUCUGUUGUAAAAUCUCAUCUCUGCUGUAUGGCAGGAAAGCAGCUGUUAACAAUAUGCAGACAAAAGAGACAAAAACCAAUGAUGGCAGAUUUACUAGGUUAUUAGUAGUUAAAACAGUUGUUUUUUCUUUUUCUGUUUCUUUUUUUUUUUAGUUGCAAGAAGCACCAGAUCAACUUACAGAGGCUGUGAGAUGUGCUGAGAAAACACAGGAUCACGUCCAAAAGCUUGAAAUUGAAAAUGUCAAAUUACAAACUACAGUCAAAAAGCAAGUGGGCAAAAUUGAACAGCUUCAGAAAAACCUGUUAAGGACAAGAUCGUCUGAGGAUGAAAAGGAACAAUUAAAGAAAUACAUUGAAUUAAAACAAUCUCUGGAAAAUAGCUUGGACCAAGAAAAGAAGAAAAACAGUGAGUUCAAAAAAGAGAUUACUGGAUUUAAUAAACUCUUAAAAAUGACAAGAAGGAAGUUAAAUGAAUAUGAAAAUGGAGAGCUUAGUUUCCAUGGAGAUUUAAAAACCAGUCAAACUGAAAUGGAUAUUCAAAUUAAUAUGCUAAAACAUAAGAUUGAUGAUCUUACAGCAGAGCUGGAAACUGCAUCUUCAAAAUGUCUGCAUCUGGAUGCAAAAAAUCAAGUUCUCCGAGAGGAGUUAUUAUCUAUGAAAGGAAUGCAAAAGAAAUGUGAAAAACUAGAGAAGAAUACAAAGAAGUUGGAGCAAGAAGUAGUGCUCCUCAGAAGUCAUAUAGAAAUGAAUAUGAUAGAACACAGUCAAGUAGAGCAGUAUAAAUGGGAGAUUGAAGAAAGGGCGAGACAGGAUCUCAUAGAGAAAUUAA
This is a long non-coding RNA of Bubalus bubalis (water buffalo), 844 nucleotides long. RefSeq lists it as uncharacterized. The transcript is spliced from 5 exons. NCBI's taxonomy places the organism in Eukaryota, Metazoa, Chordata, Mammalia, Artiodactyla, Bovidae. The record is from RefSeq and is a predicted model, not a curated record.